AACAUUAUGGUACAGACUUCCUGACACUCCCACUAACCACCACCCUAAAUACAAUAUGCUACUACAUCAGCCCCUCUCCUUUCACCUCAGAGCUUAAUCCAGGAGACACUCAUAUCUCUCCUCCACUGAGGAAACAUAUUCAUCUUCUCCAUCAAGUCUUCUUCACUAUGAUCAGGGUUCUGAUUCACCUGGCAGCUCUACCACUCUGGGUGACAGGGCAGUCGCUUAGUAGCAAAGUCAAUUCAGACUCCUAUUGCAAUACUAAAAGGAUCUAAAGAUAAUAACCAUCAACAUGAUCAAGCUUCCCAUACAUGCUGCAGCUCUUCCACUGUGGGUGACAGGGCUGUCACAAACAGACCAAGUCCAGCAGACUCCUACUGCAAUACUAAAAGGACCUGACGAUAACGUUCAACUGAACUGCAGCCAUACUGUUCCAAGCUACAACAUGAUACUGUGGUACCAGCAGUCAGAACAAGACACUGCUCUGAAACUCAUUGGGUUCUUCUCUGAGUAAACAGGUUGACUAGAGUGCUGCAGCCCUGUACAAGAACCAGGAAGAGUCUGCUAAGAUGGAGUGUUCACAUAGAAUACCAAACUGUACCAUCGUUCUCUGGUACAAACAAGAUGGAGUGUUCACAUAGAAUACCAAACUGUACCAUCGUUCUCUGGUACAAACAAGAUGGAGUGUUCACAUAGAAUACCAAACUGUACCAUCGUUCUCUGGUACAAACAAGAUGGAGUGUUCACAUAGAAUACCAAACUUUACCAUCGUUCUCUGGUACAAACAAGAUGGAGUGUUCACAUAGAAUACCAAACUAUACCAUCGUUCUCUGGUACAAACAAGAUGGAGUGUUCACAUAGAAUACCAAACUGUACCAUCGUUCUCUGGUACAAACAAGAUGGAGUGUUCACAUAGAAUACCAAACUGUACCAUCGUUCUCUGGUACAAACAAGAUGGAGUGUUCACAUAGAAUACCAAACUAUACCAUCGUUCUCUGGUACAAACAAGAUGGAGUGUUCACAUAGAAUACCAAACUGUACCAUCGUUCUCUGGUACAAACAAGAUGGAGUGUUCACAUAGAAUACCAAACUGUACCAUCGUUCUCUGGUACAAACAAGAUGGAGUGUUCACAUAGAAUACCAAACUAUACCAUCGUUCUCUGGUACAAACAAGAUGGAGUGUUCACAUAGAAUACCAAACUAUACCAUCGUUCUCUGGUACAAACAAGAUGGAGUGUUCACAUAGAAUACCAAACUAUACCAUCGUUCUCUGGUACAAACAAGAUGGAGUGUUCACAUAGAAUACCAAACUAUACCAUCGUUCUCUGGUACAAACAAGAUGGAGUGUUCACAUAGAAUACCAAACUAUACCAUCGUUCUCUGGUACAAACAAGAUGGAGUGUUCACAUAGAAUACCAAACUACAACAUUGUUCUCUGGUACAAACAAGAUGGAGUGUUCACAUAGAAUACCAAACUAUACCAUCGUUCUCUGGUACAAACAAGAUGGAGUGUUCACAUAGAAUACCAAACUAUACCAUCGUUCUCUGGUACAAACAAGAUGGAGUGUUCACAUAGAAUACCAAACUAUACCAUCGUUCU
Molecule: long non-coding RNA, 1600 nt
Filed under: Oncorhynchus kisutch (coho salmon)
Lineage: Eukaryota; Metazoa; Chordata; Actinopteri; Salmoniformes; Salmonidae
Description: lncRNA (ENSOKIG00005001839.1)
Source: RNAcentral